Anas platyrhynchos (mallard) is the source of this 2797-nucleotide non-coding RNA. The record is from RefSeq and is a predicted model, not a curated record. NCBI's taxonomy places the organism in Eukaryota, Metazoa, Chordata, Aves, Anseriformes, Anatidae.
CCGCGGCCCUCCCUCAGCCCUGAGGCCGCUAGGGGCGGCUCGGGGCCGCUGCCUUGGAGACGGUUGCGUUGGGGCGAGGCUUGAGGCUGACGGCUGCCCGCCAUGCUGCCCGCCCCGCGCCGGGGGGCUGCGGCCCCGGCCGCCAUCCCCUACUGCUACUGCAGCCCGCCCCGCGCCCUGCCCGCCCGCAACAAGUACCGGCCGCCGCCCGAGGCCGCCCCGCAGGAGAAGGAGCCCGUCCGCUAUGCCAACCUCAUGCACGACCCGAGGGUGGUGCGUGGCAACACGUAUGCCCUGCAGGUCAUCCCCGCGUGUACCCAUCUUGAUCUGUUUGAGAUUCAAAGGCAGAGAGAAGCACGGAGAAAAGCACUGGCUAGAAAGAGAGCAAAAGAGCAAGUGCAGCUAACACCUGAGCCUGUGGAAGGCAGAGAGCAUGUUCACGUGCAGACAGAGCUGUAUUUGGAAGAGAUUAGUGACCGGACAAUAGAGGUUGAUACGGAAUGUCAAACAGAUGCAUUUUUGGACAGACCACCCACUCCUUUCUUCAUACCAGCCAAAACAGGAAGAGAUGUGGCCACACAAAUAGAAGAAGGAGAGCUGUUUGACUUUGACAUUGAAGUCGAGCCGAUCCUGGAAGUGCUGGUUGGGAAGACCAUGGAGCAAGCUUUGCUGGAAGUCAUGGAGGAAGAAGAGCUGGCCCAGCUGUGGGCACACCAGCGUGCCUACGCGGAACUGCGCAAUGCCGAGCUGGCGGAGGUGCAGCGCCUGGAGGAGCAGGACAGGCGAUACAGGGAGGAGAAGGAACGUCGCAAACUCCAGCACAUUCAAAUGCUACAGAAACAGAAAGAGACGACAGAGAAAAUUGCAGCUUGGGCAUUUGCUAAACGCUACUUGACUGAUCUCAUUCCUUCAGUCUUCAGCAAUCUUCGUGAGAGUGGGUUUUUCUAUGAUCCUAUAGAAAGAGAUAUUGAGACAGAAUUCCUGCCAUGGCUGAUGACAGAAGUGGAAGAAACACUAGAGAAGAAGGUUCUGGGAAGGAUGAUGCUUGACUCCUUGAUUCGUACAGUGGUUGAAAAACGCUUGGAUGCAUUUAGCCAGGAACCUCAGUCUGGUCAGACCGAGGCCCCUGCUGAAGAGCCUGAGCCCAUAGAUGCAGCCCCGCAGGAGGCUGAUGAGAUAGAAGCUGCUGACCUGCCGGUCACAGCAAGUGAAGAGAGCGAGCCAACCUGUUGCUGAGGAACAGCUUUCACGUCGCAUCUCUUUCCAGUUAGAGGAACCCGAUCAAGCAGAAACAGAGGACCUGGAAACUGAGUAACAAGGAGGUACCUCCAUUCUGCCUACCAACAGGCUGUAAUUGCUGGUUGGCUUUCGUGCUGAGGGGGAUGAGGAAAAGAGGAGACAUCGCCGAUGAGAACCAAGAACACAUGAGCCUUGUAGCUGACUUAUACGCAUUCUUUAUCAAACACCAGGAGCUGAAUCAUGCAAAAAUCCUUGAGCAAGAUUAUCUCCUCUCUAUUCCAUUCAGGUUGCUGCAGAGGCUCUAUCCUUCUGUUGUAUUUGUGCAGACCUAGUUUAGACAGAAAUAACUUAGCCAGUGUGGCCUUGAAAGAAAGUUGAGAAUACUUUCUUUCUGUUUUUACAGACUUCCCUUUUCUUACAGGUUUCUAGAACCAUACUGCAAUGUGCUCUAUUUAUGUCUUUGUUCUGAUUUUAAUGUAUAGCCAUGAUACUUCUGUACCAUUUAGGCAUACUAUCCUGGAGAGGAAAUUGAUGGUGUCAUUUACUAUUUAUUGCCUGUUUCUUCAUUUGGAGGAAAGGAAAGAGGGGCAAAGGCUAGGUGAUGAAUUCUGCCUUGAAUUGUAAAGGCUGGAAGGGAACUUUGGGGCGCUGAGAAUUUAAAAACCUUCACACAAAGUGAAUGUGAGGGGGGUUGGACCAAUAACAGCCUUAGCACAGAAUGAGGAGGGCUAUUUGAAGGUGGGAAGAAGCUCCAGUUCUAGAAUGGAGCUUUACUUUUGGUGUUUACAUUAAAAUCAAACACAGUGGAUACAGUCACUACUCUGAGGUAAGUGAUGAGCUGGUUUCCACAUGAACAGAAGGGUGUCCUAAUGUGACUGGGGAGUAUCAAGGUUAAGUUUGCUGUAAUAGGUUAUGUCUUAUGGAACCGGAAAGCCAUGGAGCAGAAACUUCAUCAAACUCCUCAUGAUACCGUCUCCUCAGAGCAACUCUCCCUGAUCCCUGUUCUCAGCAGGAGCUCCUCAUCCCUGGUACCUGCUCACAGCCCCAGCAACAUCACACAAGGGACAUGGGGACAGUACAUCUGGCACUACAGUGCAGGACAGGCUGCAGCCACCCCACCACGACAAGGUGCAGGCGGGCACUGCUCUGACCCGUGGCAGGGUGUUCAUCUGGCAUCAGGGGCUUUGUGCUGGGCCCUGGGUGUGCAUUGGCCUUUUGCAAAGCCCACAUAUGUUUACAGCGCGAGGAGCCAAGAGUGGUCACCCAGCAGAGUCCUCGGUGAGAUCGUGGGAUUCUGGGCUUCAUAAUUAAUAAGCAACUUGAUCAGUGGCACAUUGGGUCAGGAUGCAGGCUGUGGGUGCUCUCCCCGGGAACCACCAGAAACCAGGCACACCGUUCAUUUUGGUCAAAGGACCAGCUGUAGCUGUCAGGUACCCAGCAGGGUACUUUGGUGGUCAGUAAAAGCCCCAGACAGCUGCAUGCACACCCAGUGAGGCUGCUUGUCUCUGCAUGUCUUUCCCAAAAGCUGCUGGUGACAAUAAAACUGUGUCCACGUGGU